GUAACUACAGUAUAAAUGUAUAUUUGACUUCCAAUCAAAAGGUUCUUAAAAGAUAGUUAUA
This 61-nucleotide transfer RNA is filed under the name Cryptopygus antarcticus travei. RNAcentral describes it as "tRNA-Gly". Lineage: Eukaryota; Metazoa; Arthropoda; Collembola; Entomobryomorpha; Isotomidae. The record is from RNAcentral.